UGGGGGAUAUUGCACAAUGGGCGAAAGCCUGAUGCAGCGACGCCGCGUGGGGGAUGAAGGCCUUCGGGUUGUAAACUUCUUUUGCUCUGAACAAGGCAUGCCUUUGGGGUGUGUUGAGUGUAGGGGUUGAUUAGCGCCGGCUAACUACGUGCCAGCAGCCGCGGUAAUACGUAGGGCGCGAGCGUUGUCCGGAAUUAUUGGGCGUAAAGGGCUUGUAGGUGGCUGGUUGCGUCUGUCGUGAAAGCUCAUGGCUUAACUGUGGGUUUGCGGUGGGUACGGGCUGGCUUGAGUGCAGUAGGGGAGGCUGGAAUUCCUGGUGUAGCGGUGGAAUGCGCAGAUAUCAGGAGGAAUACCGGUGGCGAAGGCGGGUCUCUGGGCUGUUACUGACGCUGUGGAGCGAAAGCGUGGGGAGCGAACAGG
Molecule: ribosomal RNA, 420 nt
Filed under: Fusobacteriota bacterium
Lineage: Bacteria; Fusobacteriati; Fusobacteriota
Description: Fusobacteria bacterium partial 16S ribosomal RNA
Rfam family: Bacterial small subunit ribosomal RNA
Source: RNAcentral